This 316-nucleotide ribosomal RNA is filed under the name uncultured bacterium. Its description in RNAcentral is "bacterial SSU rRNA". It matches the Rfam family "Bacterial small subunit ribosomal RNA", at positions 30 to 334 of the family's 1533-position model. The record is from RNAcentral.
AUUGAACGCUGGCGGCAGGCCUAACACAUGCAAGUCGAGCGGCAGCACGGGGAGCUUGCUCCCUGGUGGCGAGCGGCGGACGGGUGAGUAAUGCGUAGGUAACCUACCUCAUAGUGGGGGAUAACUAUUGGAAACGAUAGCUAAUACCGCAUGACAAUAGGGUACACAUGUACCCUAUUUAAAAGGGGCAAAUGCUUCACUAUGAGAUGGACCUGCGUUGUAUUAGCUAGUUGGUAAGGUAACGGCUUACCAAGGCGACGAUACAUAGCCGACCCGAGAGGGUGAUCGGCCACACUGGGACUGAGACACGGCCCAG